This 497-nucleotide ribosomal RNA is filed under the name uncultured bacterium. RNAcentral describes it as "partial 16S ribosomal RNA". It matches the Rfam family "Bacterial small subunit ribosomal RNA", at positions 28 to 507 of the family's 1533-position model. The record is from RNAcentral.
GAUGAACGAUGGCGGCGUGCCUAAUACAUGCAAGUCGAGCGAACGGACGAGAAGCUUGCUUCUCUGAUGUUAGCGGCGGACGGGUGAGUAACACGUGGAUAACCUACCUAUAAGACUGGGAUAACUUCGGGAAACCGGAGCUAAUACCGGAUGAUAUUUUGAACCGCAUGGUUCAAAAGUGAAAGACGGUCUUGCUGUCACUUAUAGAUGGAUCCGCGCUGCAUUAGCUAGUUGGCAAGGUAACGGCUUACCAAGGCAACGAUGCAUAGCCGACCUGAGAGGGUGAUCGGCCACACUGGAACUGAGACACGGUCCAGACUCCUACGGGAGGCAGCAGUAGGGAAUCUUCCGCAAUGGGCGAAAGCCUGACGGAGCAACGCCGCGUGAGUGAUGAAGGUCUUCGGAUCGUAAAACUCUGUUAUUAGGGAAGAACAUAUGUGUAAGUAACUGUGCACAUCUUGACGGUACCUAAUCAGAAAGCCACGGCUAACUACGUG